Molecule: ribosomal RNA, 252 nt
Filed under: uncultured Bacteroidales bacterium
Lineage: Bacteria; Pseudomonadati; Bacteroidota; Bacteroidia; Bacteroidales
Description: partial 16S ribosomal RNA
Rfam family: Bacterial small subunit ribosomal RNA
Source: RNAcentral
UACGGAGGAUGCGAGCGUUAUCCGGAUUUAUUGGGUUUAAAGGGUGCGCAGGCGGAAGAUCAAGUCAGCGGUAAAAUUGAGAGGCUCAACCUCUUCGAGCCGUUGAAACUGGUUUUCUUGAGUGAGCGAGAAGUAUGCGGAAUGCGUGGUGUAGCGGUGAAAUGCAUAGAUAUAACUUAGAACACCGAUAGCGAAGGCAGCUUACCAGACUGAGUCUGACGCUGAUGCACGAGAGCAUGGGUAGCGAACAGG